GGAAGGGACGCGUUUACACGAAAUGGCUCAGAGACGCGGUUGGAAUCGGGUGACAAUAGAAGCUCGUGGAAAUUGAGUUGGCACUGAUUAGACAUUGCUGGCGUGCCCUCGUGUCUCUGACGGUUCGUUGGAAUCUACUCUCGCAUACCCAACUCGAUCCCAAUUCCAUCUUAGAGGAUCGUUCAUUAUCAAGCCGGUAUUCGAUAGAUCAGAGAAGGGAGCUGGAGCUUUAACGACGUACGUUCUUCUUUUCUGCUGCCUACGCGUCUCGUUAACGAUCGUCCUUUCGUUGACGACCUCACUGAACCAGCUUCUCUCUCCGUGUGAUCACUGUGCUCUUUGAUGUAUUUAGAGUUCAUCCUUGCUAGCUGACAGUUGCCAUAGCACUUUACUGAUACUCAUAGUAUCUCUCAUACAGCUAACGCCUUUAGGGAUCAUCUACAGGCCAGUGGCCGUUCCAGUUUAUCUUCUCUCGAAAUAAACAUCCUACAGGACUGCUCUUCUCUCUUUGCUUCUGUCGUCCGUUCAUUGGUUUACUUCUCUUCGACGUUGAUCUUCUGGGAAUACCUGCUCGUUGACGUUUCUUCGACAAACUCAGCAAAAGGAGAAAUACAUAUAUUAUACAUGCAGACACACAUACACACACACAUACACAUAUAUGUAUAAUGCAUAUGUAUAAUAUAUAUGUGUAUAUAAAAUAUAUAUAUAUAUGUGUGUGUGUGUGUGUAUAUG
Molecule: long non-coding RNA, 732 nt
Organism: Vespa velutina
Lineage: Eukaryota; Metazoa; Arthropoda; Insecta; Hymenoptera; Vespidae
Exons: 3
Source: RefSeq, a predicted model, not a curated record